RNAcentral lists this ribosomal RNA (556 nucleotides) under Pleosporales sp. 13PA04. Its description in RNAcentral is "eukaryotic LSU rRNA". The stretch from base 198 to 351 matches the Rfam family "5.8S ribosomal RNA". Lineage: Eukaryota; Fungi; Ascomycota; Dothideomycetes; Pleosporales. The record is from RNAcentral.
GAGGAAGUAAAAGUCGUAACAAGGUUUCCGUAGGUGAACCUGCGGAAGGAUCAUUAUCGUGGGGCUUCGGCCCCGUUGAGAUAACACCCUUGCCUUUUUGAGUACCGUCCGUUUCCUCGGCAGGCCCGCCUGCCAAUGGGGACAACUACAACGCCCUGAAGCACCUGUAACUCGUCUGAUAAAACAAACAAAAUCAAAACUUUCAACAACGGAUCUCUUGGUUCUGGCAUCGAUGAAGAACGCAGCGAAAUGCGAUAAGUAGUGUGAAUUGCAGAAUUCAGUGAAUCAUCGAAUCUUUGAACGCACAUUGCGCCCUUUGGUAUUCCUUAGGGCAUGCCUGUUCGAGCGUCAUAUAAUUACUCAAGCAAAGCUUGGUUAUGGGUGCCUGUCCCGCCCCGUGCGUGGACUCACCUCAAAUCCAUUGGCGGCCCCCCGCCGGCCACGAGCGCAGCAGAAACGCGGUCUCGUGCCCCGGUAGGGCGGCUCCCAGAAGCAAACCCCCCAUUUUUGACCUCGGAUCAGGUAGGGAUACCCGCUGAACUUAAGCAUAUCAAUA